GGGUUGUGAGGUUAAGCGACUAAGCGUACACGGUGGAUGCCCUGGCAGUCAGAGGCGAUGAAGGACGUGCUAAUCUGCGAAAAGCGCCGGCGAGGUGAUAUGAACCCUUGACCCGGCGAUGUCCGAAUGGGGAAACCCAGUGCAAUCCGUUGCACUAUCGUUAACUGAAUACAUAGGUUAACGAGGCGAACCGGGGGAACUGAAACAUCUAAGUACCCCGAGGAAAAGAAAUCAACCGAGAUUCCCCCAGUAGCGGCGAGCGAACGGGGAGCAGCCCAGAGUCUGAAUCAGCUUGUGUGUUAGUGGAAGCGUCUGGAAAGUCGCACGGUACAGGGUGAAAGUCCCGUACACGAAAAUGCACAGGCUGUGAACUCGAAGAGUAGGGCGGGACACGUGGUAUCCUGUCUGAAUAUGGGGGGACCAUCCUCCAAGGCUAAAUACUCCUGACUGACCGAUAGUGAACCAGUACCGUGAGGGAAAGGCGAAAAGAACCCCGGCGAGGGGAGUGAAAAAGAACCUGAAACCGUGUACGUACAAGCAGUGGGAGCACCUUCGUGGUGUGACUGCGUACCUUUUGUAUAAUGGGUCAGCGACUUAUAUUCUGUAGCAAGGUUAACCGUAUAGGGGAGCCGAAGGGAAACCGAGUCUUAACUGGGCGUUAAGUUGCAGGGUAUAGACCCGAAACCCGGUGAUCUAGCCAUGGGCAGGUUGAAGGUUGGGUAACACUAACUGGAGGACCGAACCGACUAAUGUUGAAAAAUUAGCGGAUGACCUGUGGCUGGGGGUGAAAGGCCAAUCAAACCGGGAGAUAGCUGGUUCUCCCCGAAAGCUAUUUAGGUAGCGCCUCGUGAACUCAUCUUCGGGGGUAGAGCACUGUUUCGGCUAGGGGGCCAUCCCGGCUUACCAACCCGAUGCAAACUACGAAUACCGAAGAAUGUUAUCACGGGAGACACACGGCGGGUGCUAACGUCCGUCGUGAAGAGGGAAACAACCCAGACCGCCAGCUAAGGUCCCAAAGUCAUGGUUAAGUGGGAAACGAUGUGGGAAGGCCCAGACAGCCAGGAUGUUGGCUUAGAAGCAGCCAUCAUUUAAAGAAAGCGUAAUAGCUCACUGGUCGAGUCGGCCUGCGCGGAAGAUGUAACGGGGCUAAACCAUGCACCGAAGCUGCGGCAGCGACGCUUAUGCGUUGUUGGGUAGGGGAGCGUUCUGUAAGCCGUUGAAGGUGGCCUGUGAGGGUUGCUGGAGGUAUCAGAAGUGCGAAUGCUGACAUAAGUAACGAUAAAGCGGGUGAAAAGCCCGCUCGCCGGAAGACCAAGGGUUCCUGUCCAACGUUAAUCGGGGCAGGGUGAGUCGACCCCUAAGGCGAGGCCGAAAGGCGUAGUCGAUGGGAAACAGGUUAAUAUUCCUGUACUUGGUGUUACUGCGAAGGGGGGACGGAGAAGGCUAUGUUAGCCGGGCGACGGUUGUCCCGGUUUAAGCAUGUAGGCGGAGGUUCCAGGUAAAUCCGGUACCUUUUAACGCUGAGGUGUGAUGACGAGGCACUACGGUGCUGAAGUAACAAAUGCCCUGCUUCCAGGAAAAGCCUCUAAGCAUCAGGUAACACGAAAUCGUACCCCAAACCGACACAGGUGGUCAGGUAGAGAAUACCAAGGCGCUUGAGAGAACUCGGGUGAAGGAACUAGGCAAAAUGGUGCCGUAACUUCGGGAGAAGGCACGCUGAUAUGUAGGUGAAGCCCCUGCGGGUGGAGCUGAAAUCAGUCGAAGAUACCAGCUGGCUGCAACUGUUUAUUAAAAACACAGCACUGUGCAAACACGAAAGUGGACGUAUACGGUGUGACGCCUGCCCGGUGCCGGAAGGUUAAUUGAUGGGGUUAGCGGCAACGCGAAGCUCUUGAUCGAAGCCCCGGUAAACGGCGGCCGUAACUAUAACGGUCCUAAGGUAGCGAAAUUCCUUGUCGGGUAAGUUCCGACCUGCACGAAUGGCGUAAUGAUGGCCAGGCUGUCUCCACCCGAGACUCAGUGAAAUUGAACUCGCUGUGAAGAUGCAGUGUACCCGCGGCAAGACGGAAAGACCCCGUGAACCUUUACUAUAGCUUGACACUGAACACUGGUCCUUGAUGUGUAGGAUAGGUGGGAGGCUUUGAAGCGUGGACGCCAGUCUGCGUGGAGCCGUCCUUGAAAUACCACCCUUUAAUGGCUGGUGUUCUAACGUAGACCCGUAAUCCGGGUUGCGGACAGUGUCUGGUGGGUAGUUUGACUGGGGCGGUCUCCUCCCAAAGAGUAACGGAGGAGCACGAAGGUUAGCUAAUCCUGGUCGGACAUCAGGAGGUUAGUGCAAUGGCAUAAGCUAGCUUGACUGCGAGAGUGACGGCUCGAGCAGGUGCGAAAGCAGGUCAUAGUGAUCCGGUGGUUCUGAAUGGAAGGGCCAUCGCUCAACGGAUAAAAGGUACUCCGGGGAUAACAGGCUGAUACCGCCCAAGAGUUCAUAUCGACGGCGGUGUUUGGCACCUCGAUGUCGGCUCAUCACAUCCUGGGGCUGAAGUAGGUCCCAAGGGUAUGGCUGUUCGCCAUUUAAAGUGGUACGCGAGCUGGGUUUAGAACGUCGUGAGACAGUUCGGUCCCUAUCUGCCGUGGGCGCUGGAGAAUUGAGGGGGGCUGCUCCUAGUACGAGAGGACCGGAGUGGACGCAUCACUGGUGUUCGGGUUGUCAUGCCAAUGGCACUGCCCGGUAGCUAAAUGCGGAAGAGAUAAGUGCUGAAAGCAUCUAAGCACGAAACUUGCCCCGAGAUGAGUUCUCCCUGAGACUUAAAGUCUCCUGAAGGAACGUUGAAGACGACGACGUUGAUAGGUCGGGUGUGUAAGCGCAGCGAUGCGUUGAGCUAACCGAUACUAAUGAACCGUGAGGCUUAACCUUACAACGCCGAAGGUGUUU
RNAcentral lists this ribosomal RNA (2932 nucleotides) under Enterobacter cloacae. Its description in RNAcentral is "23S ribosomal RNA". It matches the Rfam family "Bacterial large subunit ribosomal RNA". The record is from RNAcentral. Lineage: Bacteria; Pseudomonadati; Pseudomonadota; Gammaproteobacteria; Enterobacterales; Enterobacteriaceae.